Long non-coding RNA from Xyrauchen texanus (razorback sucker), 580 nucleotides. RefSeq lists it as uncharacterized. The transcript has 3 exons. NCBI's taxonomy places the organism in Eukaryota, Metazoa, Chordata, Actinopteri, Cypriniformes, Catostomidae. The record is from RefSeq and is a predicted model, not a curated record.
ACAAUCCCGAAAUUCUUUCUCAAACCCACGCAUAUAGCAACAGGAGAGUUUAUUCGGAUAAGAAGCCAACAAACAACAUGAAAGACGAGCUCGCACCCAUUAUUGCUCUGAUUUGCACACAACAUGGGAAAACACAGAAGAAAACAAUGACGAGGCAGCUGUUCGGGAGAUGUUGGAGGAAUGGGCCUAAUAAACAGACAGCCCGGAAGCCUCUGGUGAAGAGGUGCCAACAGUCUGUCGUGGUUCAGAUGGUGCUCAGCGCAAGAUGUGUUUAUAAUUGAUAUUAUUUGUUUAGAGAUUGAGAUUCAUGGGAAUAGACAAUGCUCUGGUUGUUUGGCAGUUUCACACUGACAGUAAAAGAAAACGCAUCAAGCUGCAGAAGAUUGACAAGCUCAUCAAUAGUUUGUGAGAGAGGCGGUGACCUCUACGGAACUAUUUCUCCUCUCUGAAACAGUAUAUUAGCUAAUCGUCAUCUGGAAUCUGACUCACAAAUAUAAAGAGAUGUCAUUCUCCAGAAGCAACAACAAAACGAAUGGCCCUCUCUUAGAGACACAGUGAUGCAUUAAGGCUGUCCAAAUAA